UUAAAAAGGUUGGGUGAGAUUUUUUUGUUUUGGUGUGAAGGGACCCACAAUUGUUUUUAAGCUGUCAUAAGACCGCAUUUUUUUUUUUUUUGCUCUCUGAUAUCUCACUCUCUCUCCCAUUUGCCUGCUUCUCUCUUCCUCUUAGUUUUCUUUUUUUCCUUUUUCCACUUCAAGGCUUCAAUUCUUGAUUCCUUCUUCAAUAGGUAGUAUUUUUAAGUGCCGUUUGUGGCUAUUCGAAGCUCACGGCGAGGCCUACAAGUUGAUAGGAGCAAUUCCUUGGUUGGUGCACCAUAGGAAAUUUGAAAUCCUAGGGUUUGAGGUGAAGAAAUUGGGGGUUUUGCAUAAAAUUAAGGGCUCGAAAAAGAAGUGGCAGAUGACAAUCCCCCGCAAGCUUGAAGAAGAUUAAGAGUUGUAUUUUGUUAUCUUUUGUAUCUUAGCCCAUUUUUGUAUAGUCUCAAAACCAAAAUGUCGUGUAUUCAUUUUUGCAAGCUAAGAUCAUGUAUUAUAAAUCAUAACUCUUGUUGGUAUUUUGAAGGAAAACAAAACUAUGUAAUGCUUAAGUUGAAUUUGAUGACGAUGAUGGGCUAACUUGAGGAAUGUAUUAUAUGUUUUUGUA
Molecule: long non-coding RNA, 616 nt
Organism: Cornus florida
Lineage: Eukaryota; Viridiplantae; Streptophyta; Magnoliopsida; Cornales; Cornaceae
Exons: 2
Source: RefSeq, a predicted model, not a curated record